CAACGAAGCGGAAGGAAAAGAGAAGGAUGGGGCACUAAAGAGAAUUUGGACGCCAAAGACGGAAAUCUCCCAUUCUGCAUUACCAGCUUUAUCGUUGAGUUCGUGACUUCGUUUAGCACAUGCAGGUGAGUUUGUAGGUUUGUUAUGGACGAAUUGGAUCUGGACUGGAUACGACCGGAGUGCCCCGUUGAAAAGACUGCAACAAAAGCCCAUUGUAUUCUCUCAACCACUCAUCUUCUUGCAAUGCCCUGCUAGCUGCUCCAAAUUGAGGAAAAGCAACCAAAAUGGUGAAGAUUAUUAGUAGCAUUAUGAAGAGGGUCAUCUUGUAAGAGAAUGCCAUCUCUAGCGGUGACAGUAACUAACUUAUCAAUGGUACAAAAAAUUGAAGUUUUUGGAUGACGAAAUGUUGGAAUAUAAUGAGAGGUUUGUAUGGUAUGGUAUUGAAGGUGAAAGGUAGGAGGUAGGUAGCCCCAGACACACACAUAUAUAUAUAGGGAGGGUCCUAUUUGAAAUGUUGAAUUGACCAGUGCUUCUUGUGGUUGAUGAAUAGUUUAGCUUGACUGGGUAUGAUUUGAAAAUUGAAAACUAGCUAAAACAACAUUGGCGAAUAAAAUAUAAGAAAAGUAAAUCCUACGCCAAAACACCCUCUUGUCGGACACUAAAACACCGUGUUGCCUAGAAAGUGUUUAAUCCAUAAAUUGAACUUUUACCUUUUAGAUAGUAGAUAUAUACUAUAUUUUAUUUAUAAUGCUUGGUGUUGUUUAACAACGCUACUGUUAUAUGAUUUUUAAACGAUAUUGACCGAGUACGUCUUAAUUGUA
Molecule: long non-coding RNA, 821 nt
Organism: Glycine soja
Lineage: Eukaryota; Viridiplantae; Streptophyta; Magnoliopsida; Fabales; Fabaceae
Exons: 2
Source: RefSeq, a predicted model, not a curated record